This 696-nucleotide long non-coding RNA is filed under the name Canis lupus familiaris (dog). Its description in RNAcentral is "lncRNA (ENSCAFG00030021321.1)". Lineage: Eukaryota; Metazoa; Chordata; Mammalia; Carnivora; Canidae. The record is from RNAcentral.
AUGAGCCUUUGCUGUCAGGGGUACCCGCCGCCUCGGCCGCCCGGCGGGCCCGCGCCGCAGGUGGCAUCCGGGGCGGGGCCUGCGCGCCGGCGGGGGCCUGGCCCCUCCCCAGGUGCCUCGGCGCGCAGGCCGCCCCCCGCGCGCCGGGCCUCCGGGUCGCCCAGUGCGCAGGCGCCGGCCGGGAGCUCCGAGCGAGCGGCGGCGGCCCCGCGGACGGACGGACGGUCGGGCGGGCGGACCGACGGGCCGCGCGCCAUGCCGCCCUGCGCCUGUGAACUCCGAGCGCCCGAGGAUGUCUGCGCUGAGGAAGAGUCCUGUUUUAGCAGAACCCAGAUCCUGUUGAAAGUGGUAGAAGCUGAAUGCUCUUCCCUAGAAAACUCGGUGUCAGAUUUGCUGUGGAAUCAGAGGCUGAGCCUGUUCUCCUUGUGGAUUGAAAAGCCAGCAGAGCGUUUAUACCGGAUGGCCGUGCGCUUCCCUGAACUCUGCUGUGUCGCUAAGCAGAUGGCAUCCUGGCGAGAGCUCCGUGUGCACACAUGUAGUGAAUGUGCUUUGACCAUAGAAAGGACUAUACUCAGAAGUAGUGCUAAGUUGCCAGUGGAAACUGCCCAUGGGCCACAUGAGAGACCACGGAUCCUGCAAUGCUCGGGAUGCAUAAAGCUGGCACAGAAGUGCUGCAGAGAGGCUGUCACCAGUUAG